Molecule: ribosomal RNA, 478 nt
Filed under: uncultured bacterium
Lineage: Bacteria
Description: partial 16S ribosomal RNA
Rfam family: Bacterial small subunit ribosomal RNA
Source: RNAcentral
GGCGAACGCUGGCGGCGUGCUUAACACAUGCAAGUCGAACGGGAUUUAGUAAACGGAAGCCUCGGUGGAAGAUUACUAAUGAGAGUGGCGAACGGGUGAGUAACGCGUGAGCAACCUGCCUAUGACAGUGGGAUAGCCUCGGGAAACCGGGAUUAAUACCGCAUAAAAUCGUAGAAACACAUGUUUCAACGGUCAAAGAUUUAUCGGUCAUAGAUGGGCUCGCGUCUGAUUAGCUAGUUGGUGAGAUAACAGCCCACCAAGGCGACGAUCAGUAGCCGGUCUGAGAGGAUGAACGGCCACAUUGGAACUGAGACACGGUCCAAACUCCUACGGGAGGCAGCAGUGGGGAAUAUUGCACAAUGGGGGAAACCCUGAUGCAGCGACGCCGCGUGAACGAAGAAGGUAUUCGUAUCGUAAAGUUCUGUCCUAUGGGAAGAUAAUGACAGUACCAUAGAAGAAAGCUCCGGCUAAAUACGUG